AAUAUUAAUUUAAGGGCCGCGGUAUUACUAACCGUGCAAAGGUAGCAUAAUCAUUAGAUUUUUAAUUGGAGUCUUGUAUGAAUGGUUGGACAAAAGGAAUACUGUCUUUAUAUUAAAAUUGAAUUUAACUUUUAAGUGAAAAGGCUUAAAUAAUCUAAAGGGACGAUAAGACCCUAUAAAGCUUUAUAUUAUAAUUAUAUUUUAUUGAGUUUAUAAAUAAAUUUUUAAUUUGAUUAUUUAUUGUGUUGGGGAGAUAUAAAUAUAAUUUAUAUUAACUGUAAGAUUAUAAAACAAAUAUUAAUGAAAUAUUCGGAGAUCCUUUAUUUAAAGAUUAAAAGAUUAAGUUACUUUAGGGAUAACAGCGUUAUUUUUUUUAAGAGUUCAUAUCGACAAAAAAGUUUGCGACCUCGAUGUUGAAUUAAAAUUUCUAUAUAAUGAAGGGAUUAUAUAAGGAGGUCUGUUCGACCUUUAAAUUUUUACGUGAUUUGAGUUCAGACCGGCGUAAGCCAGGUUGGUUUCUAUCUUUUAGAAUUAUAAAAAUUAUUUUAGUACGAAAGGAUUAAAUAAUU
This 569-nucleotide ribosomal RNA is filed under the name Louisea nkongsamba. RNAcentral's name for it is "partial large subunit ribosomal RNA". It matches the Rfam family "Bacterial large subunit ribosomal RNA", at positions 1915 to 2701 of the family's 2925-position model. The record is from RNAcentral. Lineage: Eukaryota; Metazoa; Arthropoda; Malacostraca; Decapoda; Potamonautidae.